This 492-nucleotide ribosomal RNA is filed under the name uncultured bacterium. Its description in RNAcentral is "partial 16S ribosomal RNA". It matches the Rfam family "Bacterial small subunit ribosomal RNA", at positions 29 to 507 of the family's 1533-position model. The record is from RNAcentral.
AGUGAACGCUGGCGGUAUGCCUAACACAUGCAAGUCGAACGGCAGCACAGUAAGAGCUUGCUCUUACGGUUGGCGAGUGGCGGACGGGUGAGGAAUACAUCGGAAUCUACUUUUUCGUGGGUGAUAACGUAGGGCAACUUACGCUAAUACCUCAUACGACCUACGGGUGAAAGCAGGGGAUCUUCGGACCUUUCGCGAUUGAAUGAGCCGAUGUCGGAUUAGCUAGUUGGCUGGGUAAGGUCCCACCAAGGCGACGAUCCGUAGCUGGUCUGAGAGGAUGAUCAGCCACACUGGAACUGAGACACGGUCCAGACUCCUACGGGAGGCAGCAGUGGGGAAUAUUGGACAAUGGGCGAAAGCCUGACGCAGCAAUACCGCGUGGGUGAAGAAGGCCUUCGGGUUGUAAAGCCCUGUUGUUGGGAAAGAACAGCAGCAGGUUAAUACACCGAUGUUCUGACGGUACCCAAACAAAAAGCCACGGCUAACUUCGUG